UCAAUAAUUUAUUUACUAUAUUCUAGAAGAAUGGUGAAGUGGCGUGCGUUGUGCUGGAAAUUGUGCCGUAACCUAUCAAGCCGCGUUGUGGGCGUAGUCAUUAGAAAUCUUCAUUAUGAACAGGGCCAGUCUACGAAAGAGUACCCGAGGGAGUACUUCUAUUUUAUUGACCAUCAAGGAAUGCUCUUUCUAGAUGAUUCCAGAAUGAAGAAUUUCACGUCAUGCUUCAAAG
This is a long non-coding RNA of Rhipicephalus microplus (southern cattle tick), 232 nucleotides long. RefSeq lists it as uncharacterized. The record is from RefSeq and is a predicted model, not a curated record. NCBI's taxonomy places the organism in Eukaryota, Metazoa, Arthropoda, Arachnida, Ixodida, Ixodidae.